GGUUGCAGAGGAGCAAAAGAGAAAACAGUGAAGGAAGGAAAGAAAGGGAAAGGGGGGGAAAGGAGGGUGGGGGGGAAGGAAGGAGGAGAAAGAGAAGCAGCAUCUCUGGGCAGGCGAGGCAUGCAUGCCCUAAGCAAGCUCUGAGAGAAUGGCUGUGGAAGCUAUCCAUUGCAGUCUAAAUCCAAAUGGUAUCGAUUUGUCUGUCCACACGGAAGGAAUUAACCUGCAACUGGAAGGUGAGAGAGUGGAUUCAUCCUCACUCAAGAAGGAAAACUCUUCUAAGCUGCCAGAGUCAAAAGGAACACCCAAGAGGCAUCAAGGAGAAUCAGAAGCAUCUAAGUCAAAUAUUGUGAAACUGACCAAACCAGUGGCACUGUGGACGCAGCAGGAUGUGUGCAAGUGGUUGAAGAAACAUUGUCCUAAUCAGUAUCAGAUCUACAGUGAAUCAUUCAAACAGCAUGACAUAACUGGUCGUGCAUUGCUCAGGCUGACAGACAAAAAGCUUGAGCGGAUGGGGAUUGCUCAGGAGAGCUUGCGGCAGCAUAUUCUGCAGCAGGUCCUUCAGCUAAAAGUGAGGGAGGAGGUCCGAAACCUUCAGUUACUCACGCAAGAAGCCUAGAGUUGAGAAACUCUGCUUUAAUCAUACAGGAAGCCCUUUAUGAACAGAAGACUCUACACUUGCAUGCUGCUUCUGGAAUGCCUCAACAGAGAGUUCUCCAUAAAUGUUACCAGCCUCUAAAGCUGCUGCCCUGCCAGAUGAUCGGAAGUUGAACUUUUCCUACAUGAAAGAUAAAAACAAAACAUAAGCAACGGCACUGCCACAAAGACAGCCACUGACAAUUGGAGAACCUACCAAAAUCCCAUCCAUUUCAUCCAUGGAUUAAAGCCUGAGAGGUCUUGGUUUGCUUAUAGAAUGAAAAUGAGACUCUAUGAUGAAAAAGUGCUAACUUUCACCAGCUAAUUAUCAGUGGACCCAUUACACUGGAAAACGUCUCCCAGUUUUCAUCACUGUGCAUAAACUCUGUGUUCCCAUUAGGGACCUCUCUGUGACCUUCACUAAAAGUUCUGGGAUGUAUCCCCCCACCCCAUUGUUCUUUUUGUUCUUCUGAGCAUGUCAAAUACUGGGGAAUAUUAUGUAUGCAAAUGGCAUGAUGUUUUUAGGGGAGUGGGUGGGAGGGAUGUCCUAGAUCUGCACAAUCAGUGGAAAUGUUUGCCAGUAUCCUUACUCCCUGUCACCUGAUAUGGAUGUCAAAAUAUUCUGUUUGUGUUAAUAACACAGCUGAAUGGUAUGCCACUUUACAGUACCAGCAGUUCCCCAUUGGAUCUCCUUACAGACAUUCUAGCCAAUUUGACUGUGUUAUGGGGAAAAUUUGUGAGAGCACAUCCAUUCAGUGUUUUGGGUUAACUGCACUGGGAUGAUACGUUAAGUAUAGUCCAUGGUAUGCAUUGCUUCACUGAUUCAUGCAAGGUUGGUUUGGUAUCUUGUCUGGAUGUUGUCAUGGCUGUUUUGACACUUGACUUGUAGAGUUAGUAGAAUGAGAGCAUGUAAGCUUCUUUGCUACACACUAACACUCCAAAAAUUACAAGUGGAACUAUACUUCUGUUGUUUCGAUGCAUGUUAAAUAAUAGAGGAAAGGAAAAUGAUAGAUAAAAACAAUACCCUCUUGUUGCAAGAAUCCCUUGCCCUUGAUGAAGACAGACAUAACAUUUUGGGGAAAGGAAGGCCAGUCUGGAUGUAUCCUUACCAGACUGAGUACAAAUAUAUCUUUCCCCAGGUGAGCUCUGAAAAACAUAUACAGCCAAAGCCGGCUGUAAUGAGUGCUGAUUGGCUAGUGCAAGUGCCAUUGCUAAAACCAUGCCUUUUUCUUUCCUGGAACAGUUUUUUUUCAGCUGUUUUCAAAUACUGACUAGUUUUUAAUUGGGGGAGGAAAGGUGAAAGAUGCACAUAUGAUAAGGAUGACUACAUCUGCAAAAGCUACUUUAAAUAAAAUACAUAUUUUUCUAAGAAGGUGCAUACUUCUCUUGAAACAGGUUGGAUUGGUGAUCCAGCAUUUUAUUUGCUGGUACAUGAUGAUAUGUAUACUGUAGGUGAUGAGCUUAUUGUGACCACUGUUGAAAUGUUAUGUCUAUCUUCACCAUUAGAAACAAUUUGUGUCUAUGGUCAAGAGUAUGAAUACUUGAAAAAAUACUACCUUCCUUCUUUUCUUUUCUUUUUAAUUUUUUGUCUUUAUGUAUAUGGUGAUAUUUUAUGGAUGAUGUCUUUGCAACUUUAGGAAUGACGCCUGCAGUUGUUUGUAGGGUAGUAAAGAUGAGUAGCUGUGAUGACUUCCCUAGUUUCUGGAGGACUGGAGCCUUCAGUAAACCCAUAUGUUGCUUUCCAUUAUGUUAAUAAGCUGUUCUAUCUAAUGACAUUUUCUUCCUUGGACACUCACUUUAGACCUGGGGUUCACCCUUUAUAUCAGUCACAUCUGCCACAUCAUCCCCAAAUUCUUCUUUCAUUAACCUGACAACUCACUUCUGUUAGGUUACAAUUGGACUGGUUAUGUCAACAUUUCAAAAGCCAAGUGUACUUUGGAAUAUUUAACAGAGUAUUAAGGGACCUUCUGUUAGUUCCCAUGGAGUGAUUGAAUUUAAAUCUGUCUUAACUAUCCUUUUGGCAAUCAACUUUCUUUUCUCACUCCCACCAAAUGCUUUCUUACAAGAAAGUAAGGUCAAGUAAAACUGUUCACUUUCAACAAAACUGCAGCUGGCAGAAGACUGUUGCAUCCAAAGUGAGCUUUGCUCUUCACCAUUCAUUUUUUAGGUUGCACAGCAGGCUGUGGCUUAAUUUUCAUAUUCACCCAGGGUUGUUGUGGGGGGGGAGGGUAAUUUUUGUUUUGUUUCUUGUUCAAAGAAAAAUCCUUUGUAGCAGACAAUAAUGGUAGCAUCCAUAGAAUACACAAUUGGUUGAACUUACUAGUCCCUAAAUCAAAGGUUGAGAGAACUGCCAUUGAUCUGUCUCUCCUAUGUCAUAGACUGUUAUGUUAUUGAAUGGCUUUGUUUAUGCCUAGCUGGCAUGUAUGAGCUUUCAUAUAAUUUGUAUCUUGAGAUUUGACAAUGCUACCAUUUUUAUCUUAAGCCUCUAUAAAACAAACAACACAACAAGCUGCUCUGUGUUUACACAUGGAUCUUGAACCACUCAUCUUCUUUUUUUUUCUUGCAAUCACUUGUCAUUUCCACUGCUGCUUCCUCUGCCAUUCAAAGUUCUUGGACUGAGCAAAAAGAACCCCAAGCAAUCUACAUUUUCACAAAAUCAAAACUUAUCAGCAUGCCUUAGGAUGGAAGUAAGGAAUGGUUAUGUUUGAUCUACCCUAGGGGAUGAAUUGAAAUAUGUGUACUGUAUAUCUCAAAAUCCAUCUCACUUCAUUGUGACCUCCAAUCAAAACAGUCCCAAUGAAUUGCCACCAUUUUCAUAAUCUGGUGGCAGGGUCUAUGAAGUUUAGCUGUAUCUUGGUUACUAAGCAGUUUUCAUUUGUAUUAGUCUUAAAGAAGAUUAAGAGCACUUAGUCCUAGAAGAUUUUAUUCUGUUACAUUAGCUUUCCCUAACUUGGGGCCUGAACAGACAGGCCAAAAUAAAGCUGCUUCAGGUCACUUUG
RNA transcript from Sceloporus undulatus (fence lizard), 3635 nucleotides. It is a transcript of the gene named sterile alpha motif domain containing 12, with no coding region annotated. Lineage: Eukaryota; Metazoa; Chordata; Lepidosauria; Squamata; Phrynosomatidae. The transcript is spliced from 6 exons. The record is from RefSeq and is a predicted model, not a curated record.